CUCAGAGACAUAUGUGGAAAAAUAGGCAAGUUGGCAAGAAAAACUUAAAAUAUAUUCCAUUUUUCCAUCAUAGUGAAUUAAAAACACAUCUCUGUAGGUAGGUAUAGAUUUGAAAGUUGACAGCACUCUUGUAAAAUCAUGAUUUCUUUCAUAAAUCUUAAUUUCCAGUGGCACAAUUUUUAUUAAUAAUGGAUGCUCAUAAUUACCUUAUGAUGUGGUAUCAUUUAUUAAAAAUAAUGCAGUGAAUUAGAUAAAUGAUUACAAUAUUAAAGUGAAGGUUCAGGCAAAAUGGGGAUGAUAAUAUCUACAUUUCUGAAAAAAAAGAUGUUAUUUUAUUUAUUUAUUUUGUUUUUUAUCGAGACAGGGUUUCUCUGUGUAGCCCUGGCUGUCCUGGAACUCACUGUGUAGACCAGGCUGGCCUUGAACUCAGAAAUCUGCCUGCCUCUGUCUCCCAAAUUCUGGGAUUAAAGGCAUUCACCACCACUACCCGGCUGAUUUUAUUGUUUACCAAGAACUCACCGAGCACCACAUAUUGUCUUAAACCUCUCAAUACUUCAAAUAUGCCUCAAAGCAGCUAGACCCAACUUAAACGCAAUAAAAUGGAUGGAAAUCACUUAUGUUCCAAAAACAACUGGCUUUACUAAUCAUACCUGGAAUCUGGACCAGAAAUAUUCAAAUGCAACAGCAACUCAAUUUAUAGGAGACUGUUAAUGACUAGUUACACGUUCACACACUUGUUGGAAAUAUCAAUCCUCUGACCUUGCUUUCAAAGGAAAUGAAUAUCUUUUUACAGCCUUUUAUAUCUAAUUAUAUGACUGAUGAAGUUGGGGAAAUGAGAGUAUACUCAAGACACAUGUAAUAUAUCUAUAAUUUGAAGGGUCAUAUAAAUCUUACCAGGAAAUGUGACAGACAGAAGGCAGCCACUUCAAAACGUGCUAAAAGCAGAGUCAAAAGGGGACUGCUUCCAUCAGCACGUGUAGCCAAGUGUAGGUUUUAAAAACUCUCCCUCACUAGGAAGAAUGCGCAUAUAUAUUAUGACUAUUAUAUACUCAAUAAAAACCAAUUGACUUAAAUUACAUUUUCUGUCACAUAGUAUUAAUGUCAUCAGGCUCAUGAUAUUUAAGCAGAUAUAGGGUUCUUUAUACAAGGUCUAUCCUUAGGGAAUUAAGUUAGGCUCCAGAAAUGGUUUUGUAGUAGCUCAUUGUGUUUUAGCAUGUAAGGGAGCCAAGUACACCAAUAUAGCUGACAUAGUGCUUAUCAGUAGUCUCUUGUCUGCUUUCUACUGACACAGGGUGAUAGUAGUUUGUGGCUAAGUGGAGAUGGGAUGUGGGUGUUGAAUAGCAUCUUUAUUACCAAGGGCUUGCUUCUGCAAUCAACAAGAGGCUACUAAAUAGCAACUUUCUUAAAAAAAAAAAAAGGUUGAUUUGAUGCCAUUGAACUCUAUACUUAUUCAAGGUCAGACAGUGCAGAAAUCCAAUAGAUAUAAAAAACAUUCACAAGAGACUUUCUAUUUCUGCAGGACAAAAUCAGUCAUGUGUCCAGUCCAGGAAUAAUUGGUUAGAGAAGGCUUAAGUUCAGUUCCCACAUUCUGGAAAUUCUAGGGUCAAGAGAAGCAGCUCUGUAACCACCAUGGUGCCCAUGAUUAGAAAAAAAGAGGGAUUUCCAGAGAGGGAAAGAGUCAUGUGGGUUAUUAUAAGUAAUUUUACGAAAAAGAAACAGAUUUCCAUCCUAGAGCACAUAUGAGCAUAUGACAUUCUGGACCAACACCCUGUAAUGUCAUAAAUGCUUCUUUAAGACAAUACACAGGUUAUUGCUACAGAUUUAGAACCCUACAAUCAGGACUGGCUCACCUUCAUGGAGCGGUACCAUUUGAGGAUAGGAGAAGGCUGUGAGGAGUUGGGUAACUCUCUCUUAGGUCAGAGUACUUGGUUAUGGAGGAGGUUGAUACAGUUUGGGCCAUUUGGAGAUGCCAGUACUACUCAUCUUGCAACAAUGGACACUUUAAGAAAAUUCCCUUAGAAUUAAGGCACAGAAACAUUGUGUCACCUUUAGGAAAUCUAAUUUUCAGUGUAAAUUCCUUCUGAUUGCUAUUUUACUCAGCUGACGUGUGUGCCAGAGGUGAAGGGGAAGUAUUUGACCAAACAAUUGUUUAGACACUAUGAGUCUGAAACACUGAGUGUCAAAUAAAAAUUCCAGAAGGGACAUGAAAUCUCACCUUAGAAGGACUUCAUGGUCUUGCAUGCCAAGCUUCCACAAUCACACAGACAUUAAUCACGCUAUCCUUCUCAACUGUCUGCAUUCACAUCCUCAUUCCGCCUUUUACAAAUGGCUUUCUUCACUUCUUUGUGUGGAGGUAGAGUGGAUAGGGAUUUGCAGAGCUCAAUCCACUUUUUGGGGGGAGUCCUUUGGAUGCAAUAGCUAAGCUUGAGAGGCUGUCCCAGUUGCUUGCAUUCUGUUGUUUGGAGUUAAGUCUUUAAGAGGCAGCUGGGACCUGCACUGCAUCUGGCUAUAUUUGGGAUUAAGAAAAGAAGAAGGGAGAUGAUAUUUUCCCCAUCUGUGCCUUGGAGGAUGUCUAAUUAUCUUCUGUCCUUUCUCAAGGGGAGAAUAAAGCUAUUUAAGUAAUUUAGCUUAGGAAAAACAACACCAUCAACAACAUACGAAUUAAUUUAGGAAGCAAAGGACUAAAUGAUGUGACACGUUCUUCCUUCUCCGCAGCUCUUCAGGUUUCAAGUUCAUUGACAAGCAUGCACUUCUUAGGAAGCUUGAUCGUCAGUGAUGUAAUGUCAGCUCUCAGGCUACCUAGCUAGCAACCUUACAAACACAAACCCCAUAUCAAUUUUUGACUGGGUCACAGAAGGGUUUCUGGUGACAGCAAUACUCACUGCAUCUUACAGAGUGAAGAAGCACCUUGUAUAAAGGAGGGAGGGGGAGCGUAAGCCGGAAGGAUUAAUGACCACAGAAAACUCAAGCUAAGGAAUAAGUUGGCAUACCUUGUGAGCAAAGCAGCAUCUAAUACUGAGGAGAACUGAAGUUUUCUAGAAGAAAAGAUGCAUUGGAUCCCAGAGGGGAUCUUAACCUGCUUUUUUCAGAAAACUGCCAUUAAAGGUCUGAGGAAAGAAGAAUGGCUAAUUUGCAUAAUUUAAAUGGACUUCUCUAGCUGCCAUGGAGGACUUGGUUCACCUCAAGGCUGAGAGCAAGACCUACAAGGUGUGUAGGCAGGAAGUGAUGAGACAUGUUCCAAGGGAGGAAGGCUAGGGUGACAGGGGCAACACAGAUCUUCCAGCCACACUUGGGCAACACUGAGGAAGCAGAGACAGAGCAGACUAGGAAUUCUAAACUGAGUGCUAGAGGGUGAAGCAUCCGAGGGGAAGAAAGAAGUUGGGGAGGCAGGUAGAUAAGUGAGUCUGAGGUUUCAGACAAGAGUGGCCUCAGAAACUAAUGAACUGACCACUAAUCAGAGCUUACGGUAGCCUUUAAAAUCAAGUCAGGAAAUGAGAUUUACCGGGUGAAUCACAAGGCACAGGAAUAGGGUUCAAUAUAGAGAGUUGUGGUGUCUGGCACUUAAGGAGUCAGCCAUGCUGGUUUCAUAAAUCAUUGGAUAUCUCUAAUCUUAGCUAAUAACUACUUAAUUUUUUAUGUUGGCGAAUGUAAAUGGUAACACAUGCCCCACUUUGGCUUGGCAUUAUUUAUUAAAUACCCCCCUUUCCUUCUUAAUUUUUGUACUGUUUUUUUUUUUAUAUUUGUAUGUGAUCAAAAAGUAAGCUUGACUAUUAUCAUUUUGAGUGAGAGCAAAAAAAGUCUACUGUAUGUUUUUACUGAAGAAGAGUGCUUUAAAAUUAUAUUUAGACGUGAAUGAAAUGGCUUGAUUAUUCAGAUUACACAAAACAAUAUUAUGAUUGAAAAAUUACAACGGGAGGUUUUUAUAUGCAUUGAUUCUAUUUAUAUAAACUGGAAACUUUAGCAUCGAGAUUCAAUUCAUAGUCGAGUUUGACAACACGUAAGCGAUAAUUCAUAAACACACAUCUUAGAUGAAAGUAAUGAGUCUCUCUCAUGUGCUAUUCUUAAGUGCAAGGUAAUGAUGAUAUAGGCCCAAAAUAAAUGGGCUGUCAGAUGCCUGGCCAGAUCAUCUCCACUGUGAUAAAAAUGACUCUGUGAAAACACUAAAUAGAGCAGACAGAAGCAAAGAGGUCUACUGGAUGGAGAGGCCUUUAUUAACUCUGUGCUCUAGAUUUUCCAAUGUAUGUGCCUACCCAGAACAUGUUUAUUUGGUGUACACAGCUAUUUUAAGUUGAUGAUAGCCACUUGCCGAAAUUUUCUGAACAUUUAAGCUCCCAGUCAUCAACUCAGAAAACUGUGAGCUGUAAUUUGUAUUCCUAAAAGUUACAGAGUUUCAAUCCCCCCAAAUAUGGCAACAUUUACAACAUCUGGCCACCAAUAAGUAAUGCCAGAGAUGGGCUCUUCCAUAUGCAAUGACUGGGUUGACUAAUCUCUAUGAACCCAUUUCUUUCUCCUUCCAUUUUACACAGUGUGUAUUUGAAGCCAGCUCUGCACUGGAGACAGGUG
This 4563-nucleotide long non-coding RNA is filed under the name Mus musculus (house mouse). RNAcentral describes it as "long non-coding RNA chr10:108778310-108782873". Lineage: Eukaryota; Metazoa; Chordata; Mammalia; Rodentia; Muridae. The record is from RNAcentral.